UGACACCGAAGUCGGCAAUGCGCAACCUUCCGUCACAGCCGAGAAGCAAAUUGGCUGGCUUGAUGUCACGAUGGACGACAUGAUUGCGAUGCACUGAUCAUUUGACGAAUACAAAUUACUCAAUUCCUAACAACAAAUCACGAAAGUGUAUCCUGGCUUGAUUUUCUUCCAUCGGAUUACCGUUCGACUCAUCUGACACAACUGCUCCCAGAUCAAGUAAUUCAAAAGCUGGAAUUUUCCAAAUGAAUAAGAUGCGAUCCAGCGGAUGAGAUGUCGAUCCAGUGCUUCCUUUAUCAGAUUUCUUUCUUUGCGGGGCUAGUCGACCGAAGAAACCGGCCCUUUUCAACAUUUUCUUCUUGGAAAGGAUUUUCAUGGCCUUAUUUUUAAAAAAAGGUUAUCUGGAAUAUAGCGAACUUACCUGGCCGAUAAAUUCUCUUAGCGAGUAUUGGUUGAUUUGGGUCAAAAUACAGAAGAAACCAAUGUAAGCAAUACUACCUGAUGCAUAAUUUGGUCGUUGCAGCAUCAAGAAUUUAAUCAGGCCGACAAUCACGAAGGCACAGGGCAAAACUAACAGGAUGACCAUUGGUGUUUAUGUGCUGCCGAGCCACAAGAAGCUUCUCCACUGCACGCGUCUCGCAGGUGAAGUGAAGGAACUUCUUUUUGUUUUGUUUGUCGAGCAAAAGGGAACUGACGCAACAGGUUUUUUUUUAAGUAAAAAAAUCCCCGCAGACACGCACCGCAGAAAAUAAGGAUAGUACGGACUUGGGAAGAAAAAGAGACGUAAUUCGAAAAUCAACCAUCACAGGAGCCUCGGGCGUGAAUAAUCAAAACAAAGCAAUAAUCUAUCGGCAAAAAUUUGGCAAAAAUUAAAAGUGUGAAAGGAAUACUAUAUUUGGAGCAAGGGAGGAGUUAUUUAACCAGUUUAAAAAAUACCUUUGAUUAUUUAAAAAUGACAAUCUGUAAAAAAAAAACACGUUUGUUAAAGGAAAAGCACCUGAAGCGUUUACGUGCGUAACGAGCUGAAACACAACACGCAUCUAUUUAAGAUAGACAAUGACCUUCACAAUUUCUUGUCAACAACGGAAACUUGUAUCAACAAAUGUUUCGUCCCCGUUUAACCAUCGAUAAGGUUGUGACGUGUGUUGCCGGAAACGGCAGAAGGAAGUGUGGAGCAAUCGACCAAUCGUUACUUUUCAAUAAUGAAUUGGGCUAUCAAAAAUUCAAAUGCGUGCACAGCUGACGUUUCCGUUUCGUGUCUUGAUUAGUGCUCCGGAAGAUAAGCAACGAAGACAAAAGAAACGCCAGCAAACAUUACUUAACCGAGUCGGUCGCCCACCUGAACGGCCGCACCCCAGUCGUCUACUACAGGGCAGACAGCAUACGAGGCUACAUACUGCGAAUGCAAGCCAUCGUACUCCUCAUAUUCGGCCCCGGCCUACCAAGCCCCGUCUUCACCAGUCUACAGGGCACAUGCCAGCCACUCCUGCCUAGUGCCUAUACGUCCCUCCUCGUGCUCCUACUUAUGGAUUUGUUCAGCACCUACAUUAUUAAAAAUACCCGACUAAAGAACUCCAGCACGACAGUAGAACUCCACAACGCGACAAUAGAACUCCAAUAAAUUCUUUAAUUAUUUUUAUGAUCAACAAUAGAACUACAUCGAAUUUUAAAUGUCCGACAAUAGAACUCAAAUGAUUUUAACACUAUUUUCAUAUCCGACGGUAGAACUCGAUAGAAUUUUAAAUAUCUCAAAUGUCCGACAAUCCAUCCAUCCUUGAUUCCUAAUUCCGACAAUCCAUCCAUCCUUGAUUCCUAAUCCUUUCCGUACAGUCAAACAUGGUAAUCGUGGAAGAAUCUUUUGGCUCCGUCAGUAGAUGGCUAAAAUCAAGUAUUCAAAUUGUCCCCCAGCCGCCAGAUGACGCGAGUGUCUUUGAGAGGACGAAAUAUUCGCCAUUCUGUUCCGAAACGUCAAGUGAAAAGGUAUUCCGAAUUCGUUACGGAAUUGCGGUGUCGAUCUACACUUUCAGCAUUGAAAUUUAAUGGCAAUCUGGCAUAUAAUUUCCUCUUGGCCAAAUAAUCCAUCACGUGGACUGAAACUGCUUUCCAUUUUGCCGAAAUGUCGUCCGUUGUUAGCUGUACCGGUUCGGAUGUACUUCUCAUCUCACGCAGAAACACUACAGAGUUGGUGUUCAGGUUGGAGAUCCUGUUGGUUAACUGUUGCCGAAUGUGAGAACUCAACAAAUUCUUAGUUCCAUGGCUGGAAUCAUGGCCACAGUGGUUUUGUUGCAGCCAGCUGGUGAAAGGUGUGCUCGAGUCAAGUUGAGCUGCAGCUGCUGCAUGCAAUUUAUCGAGCUGGUGUUAUCCUGAAGUGUCAUUGCAGGAAGACUUUUUGAAAUGGACUUUGCGGAACUUAAACUAUGCCUGUGCUGUUCAAGGUGAAGUGGUUUUGCAGCCUGUUUCCAGUUGAGAGAUGUGAUAUUGCAGCUGAUACAGGAUUGAAGAAAAAGAACUGAAGUAGCUGUGCUGGUGUUCUCCUGAAAUUGCUAUUCCACAGGAGUUGCAGAAAGUGUUUGGUUCUUCAUAGAAGUUAAUUCAAAGAGUCUGGAGAUGAUCAGCCACUUCUGCCUAUAACUUAUGUAAAACUUCAAAGUUGUAAGAAAUAUACAAGUCAAGUGCUAAA
Daphnia pulicaria is the source of this 2677-nucleotide long non-coding RNA. RefSeq lists it as uncharacterized. The transcript has 11 exons. Lineage: Eukaryota; Metazoa; Arthropoda; Branchiopoda; Diplostraca; Daphniidae. The record is from RefSeq and is a predicted model, not a curated record.